CUAUCACUGGUGGAGAACAAGUCUUCAUGGGAAACUCCAGCGUUUCCGAGAUGAUACGAAUUGAA
Long non-coding RNA from Ipomoea nil (Japanese morning glory), 65 nucleotides. RefSeq lists it as uncharacterized. Lineage: Eukaryota; Viridiplantae; Streptophyta; Magnoliopsida; Solanales; Convolvulaceae. The record is from RefSeq and is a predicted model, not a curated record. The transcript has 3 exons.